This 339-nucleotide ribosomal RNA is filed under the name uncultured eukaryote. RNAcentral's name for it is "partial 18S ribosomal RNA". It matches the Rfam family "Eukaryotic small subunit ribosomal RNA", at positions 1470 to 1796 of the family's 1831-position model. The record is from RNAcentral.
CCCUUCGAUGUUCUGGGCCGCACGCGUGCUACAAUGAUCGAUUCAACGAGUUUACAACCUGCUCCGACAGGAGUGGGUAAUCUUUUGAAAAUCGAUUCGUAACAGGGAUUGUGGGUUGCAAUUUUCCCACAUGAACGAGGAAUGCCUCGUAAGUGCACUUCAUCAGAGUGCGCUGAUUACGUCCCUGCCCUUUGUACACACCGCCCGUCGCUCCUACCGAUUGAAUAACCCGGUGAGAAGUCUGGACACUGGAUCUUGGUUAAGUAGAGUUUUACUUUGCUUGCCUCCCGGUGAAAAUUCUUCAAAUCUUGUUAUUUAGAGGAAGGAGAAGUCGUANCA